RNAcentral lists this ribosomal RNA (431 nucleotides) under uncultured bacterium. RNAcentral's name for it is "partial 16S ribosomal RNA". It matches the Rfam family "Bacterial small subunit ribosomal RNA", at positions 29 to 507 of the family's 1533-position model. The record is from RNAcentral.
AACGAACGCUGGCGGCAGGCCUAACACAUGCAAGUCGAGCGCCCCGCAAGGGGAGCGGCGGACGGGUGAGUAACGCGUGGGAACGUACCCUUCGCUACGGAAUAGCCUCGGGAAACUGGGAGUAAUACCGUAUGUGUCCUUCGGGAGAAAGAUUUAUCGGCAAGGGAUCGGCCCGCGUUGGAUUAGGUAGUUGGUGGGGUAAUGGCCUACCAAGCCGACGAUCCAUAGCUGGUUUGAGAGGAUGAUCAGCCACACUGGGACUGAGACACGGCCCAGACUCCUACGGGAGGCAGCAGUGGGGAAUCUUAGACAAUGGGCGCAAGCCUGAUCUAGCCAUGCCGCGUGAGCGAUGAAGGCCUUAGGGUUGUAAAGCUCUUUCAGGGGGGAAGAUAAUGACUGUACCCCCAGAAGAAGCCCCGGCUAACUCCGUG